CGUCGCCGCGGUAAUACGGAGGGCGCGAGCGUUACCCGGAUUUACUGGGCGUAAAGGGCGUGUAGGCGGCCUGGGGCGUCCCAUGUGAAAGGCCACGGCUCAACCGUGGAGGAGCGUGGGAUACGCUCAGGCUAGAGGGUGGGAGAGGGUGGUGGAAUUCCCGGAGUAGCGGUGAAAUGCGCAGAUACCGGGAGGAACGCCGAUGGCGAAGGCAGCCACCUGGUCCACUUCUGACGCUGAGGCGCGAAAGCGUGGGGAGCAAACCGGAUUAGAUACCCCCGUAGUCCCUGUCUCUUAUACA
RNAcentral lists this ribosomal RNA (301 nucleotides) under uncultured bacterium. Its description in RNAcentral is "partial 16S ribosomal RNA". It matches the Rfam family "Bacterial small subunit ribosomal RNA", at positions 510 to 808 of the family's 1533-position model. The record is from RNAcentral.